UGGGGAAUUUUGGACGAAUUGGGCGAAAGCCUGAAUCCAGCAAUGCCGCGUGUGUGAAGAAGGCCUUCGGGUUGUAAAGCACUUUUGUCCGGAAAGAAAUCCUUGGCUCUAAUACGGUCGGGGGAUGACGGUACCGGAAGAAUAAGCACCGGCUAACUACGUGCCAGCAGCCGCGGUAAUACGUAGGGUGCAAGCGUUAAUCGGAAUUACUGGGCGUAAAGCGUGCGCAGGCGGUUUGCUAAGACCGAUGUGAAAUCCCCGGGCUCAACCUGGGAACUGCAUUGGUGACUGGCAGGCUAGAGUAUGGCAGAGGGGGGUAGAAUUCCACGUGUAGCAGUGAAAUGCGUAGAGAUGUGGAGGAAUACCGAUGGCGAAGGCAGCCCCCUGGGCAAGUACUGACGCUCAUGCACGAAAGCGUGGGGGAGCAAACGGAUUAAUA
Molecule: ribosomal RNA, 439 nt
Filed under: uncultured bacterium
Lineage: Bacteria
Description: partial 16S ribosomal RNA
Rfam family: Bacterial small subunit ribosomal RNA
Source: RNAcentral